RNAcentral lists this ribosomal RNA (449 nucleotides) under uncultured bacterium. Its description in RNAcentral is "partial 16S ribosomal RNA". It matches the Rfam family "Bacterial small subunit ribosomal RNA", at positions 29 to 523 of the family's 1533-position model. The record is from RNAcentral.
AAUGAACGCUGGCGGCAUGCCUAACACAUGCAAGUCGAACGAAGGCUUCGGCCUUAGUGGCGCACGGGUGCGUAACGCGUGGGAGUCUGCCCCUUGGUUCGGAAUAACAGUUGGAAACGACUGCUAAUACCGGAUGACGACGUAAGUCCAAAGAUUUAUCGCCGAGGGAUGAGCCCGCGUAGGAUUAGGUAGUUGGUGUGGUAAAGGCGCACCAAGCCGACGAUCCUUAGCUGGUCUGAGAGGAUGAUCAGCCACACUGGGACUGAGACACGGCCCAGACUCCUACGGGAGGCAGCAGUGGGGAAUAUUGGACAAUGGGCGAAAGCCUGAUCCAGCAAUGCCGCGUGAGUGAUGAAGGCCUUAGGGUUGUAAAGCUCUUUUACCCGGGAUGAUAAUGACGGUACCGGGAGAAUAAGCUCCGGCUAACUCCGUGCCAGCAGCCGCAGUAA